UGCUUACGCACAGCGGAUUAAAAGGGAAUCCGGUCAGAAUCCGGAACAACCGCCAUUACUGUAUUUGACAAGUCGCUGUGCAAUAUGCCAUUGGAUUUUCCGAGAAGGCGCAUAGCGAGUCGCGAAUUUUUCGCAGCAUCAUAAGUCAGGAUAUCUGCCGUGUCUUUG
RNAcentral lists this non-coding RNA (168 nucleotides) under pig gut metagenome. The record is from RNAcentral.